Molecule: non-coding RNA, 86 nt
Organism: Paramuricea clavata
Lineage: Eukaryota; Metazoa; Cnidaria; Anthozoa; Malacalcyonacea; Plexauridae
Source: the annotation of a GenBank genome assembly
ACCUCGAUAGCCCAGUGGUUAAAGAGCGCUAAUUUUGCGCUGAUUCGUUAAACCAGAGACUUUGGGUUCGAUUUCCAGUUGGGGUG